Prolemur simus (greater bamboo lemur) is the source of this 179-nucleotide small nuclear RNA. Its record names the gene U2. It matches the Rfam family "U2 spliceosomal RNA". Rfam says of the family: U2 is a small nuclear RNA (snRNA) component of the spliceosome (involved in pre-mRNA splicing). Complementary binding between U2 snRNA (in an area lying towards the 5' end but 3' to hairpin I) and the branchpoint sequence (BPS) of the intron results the bulging out of an unpaired adenosine, on the BPS, which initiates a nucleophilic attack at the intronic 5' splice site, thus starting the first of two transesterification reactions that mediate splicing. Lineage: Eukaryota; Metazoa; Chordata; Mammalia; Primates; Lemuridae. The record is from Ensembl.
AUCACUUCUCAGCCUUCUGGCUAAGAUGAAGUGUACUAUCUGUUCUUAUAAAUGUAACAGUAGACUUCCUCAGAGGGGCAAUUACAAUUAAUUAAAAUUGUAAAAUCAUACAUGGUUGGUCUCCUGUCCAGCUGCUGCUAGUAAGCAGUCUGUGCCCCAGUUUAUGGGGGCCCUGUCCU